CGGCGGACGGGUGAGUAACACGUGGAUAACCUACCUAUAAGACUGGGAUAACUUCGGGAAACCGGAGCUAAUACCGGAUAAUAUAUUGAACCGCAUGGUUCAAUAGCGAAAGACGGUUUUGCUGUCACUUAUAGAUGGAUCCGCGCCGCAUUAGCUAGUUGGUAAGGUAACGGCUUACCAAGGCAACGAUGCGUAGCCGACCUGAGAGGGUGAUCGGCCACACUGGAACUGAGACACGGUCCAGACUCCUACGGGAGGCAGCAGCC
This 266-nucleotide ribosomal RNA is filed under the name uncultured Staphylococcus sp. RNAcentral's name for it is "partial 16S ribosomal RNA". It matches the Rfam family "Bacterial small subunit ribosomal RNA", at positions 96 to 355 of the family's 1533-position model. Lineage: Bacteria; Bacillati; Bacillota; Bacilli; Caryophanales; Staphylococcaceae. The record is from RNAcentral.